AACGAACGCUGGCGGCAGGCCUAACACAUGCAAGUCGAGCGAGGACUUCGGUACUAGCGGCGGACGGGUGUGUAACGCGUGGGAACGUGCCCUUUGCUUCGGAAUACCCAUGGGAAACUGGGAGUAAUACCGGAUGAGCCCUAUGGGGGAAAGAUUUAUCGGCGAAGGAUCGGCCCGCGUUGGAUUAGGUAGUUGGUGGGGUAAUGGCCUACCAAGCCGCCGAUCCAUAGCUGGUUUGAGAGGAUGAUCAGCCACACUGGGACUGAGACACGGCCCAGACUCCUACGGGAGGCAGCAGUGGGGAAUCUUAGACAAUGGGGGAAACCCUGAUCUAGCCAUGCCGCGUGAGCGAUGAAGGCCUUAGAGUUGUAAAGCUCUAUCAGCUGGGAAGAUAAUGACGGUACCAGCAGAAGAAGCCCCGGCUAACUCCGUG
Molecule: ribosomal RNA, 433 nt
Filed under: uncultured bacterium
Lineage: Bacteria
Description: partial 16S ribosomal RNA
Rfam family: Bacterial small subunit ribosomal RNA
Source: RNAcentral